AACGAACGCUGGCGGCGUGCCUAACACAUGCAAGUCGUGCGAGAAAGUUCCUUCGGGAGCGAGUAAAGCGGCGCACGGGUGAGUAACACGUAGGUAACCUGCCCCCCAGUCUGGAACAACUAGAGGAAACUCUAGCUAAUGCCGGAUGAGACCACGAUCCCUUCGGGGGUUGCGGCCAAAAGAUGGCCUCUACUUGUAAGCUAUCGCUGAGGGAUGGGCCUGCGGGCCAUUAGCUUGUUGGUGAGGUAACGGCUCACCAAGGCUGUGAUGGCUAGCUGGUCUGAGAGGAUGACCAGCCACACUGGGACUGAGACACGGCCCAGACUCCUACGGGAGCAGCAGUGGGAAUAUUGCGCAAUGGGCGAAAGCCUGACGCAGCGACGCCGCGU
Molecule: ribosomal RNA, 389 nt
Filed under: uncultured bacterium
Lineage: Bacteria
Description: bacterial SSU rRNA
Rfam family: Bacterial small subunit ribosomal RNA
Source: RNAcentral